RNAcentral lists this ribosomal RNA (550 nucleotides) under Staphylococcus aureus. RNAcentral's name for it is "bacterial SSU rRNA". It matches the Rfam family "Bacterial small subunit ribosomal RNA", at positions 992 to 1533 of the family's 1533-position model. Lineage: Bacteria; Bacillati; Bacillota; Bacilli; Caryophanales; Staphylococcaceae. The record is from RNAcentral.
UGACAACUCUAGAGAUAGAGCCUUCCCCUUCGGGGGACAAAGUGACAGGUGGUGCAUGGUUGUCGUCAGCUCGUGUCGUGAGAUGUUGGGUUAAGUCCCGCAACGAGCGCAACCCUUAAGCUUAGUUGCCAUCAUUAAGUUGGGCACUCUAAGUUGACUGCCGGUGACAAACCGGAGGAAGGUGGGGAUGACGUCAAAUCAUCAUGCCCCUUAUGAUUUGGGCUACACACGUGCUACAAUGGACAAUACAAAGGGCAGCGAAACCGCGAGGUCAAGCAAAUCCCAUAAAGUUGUUCUCAGUUCGGAUUGUAGUCUGCAACUCGACUACAUGAAGCUGGAAUCGCUAGUAAUCGUAGAUCAGCAUGCUACGGUGAAUACGUUCCCGGGUCUUGUACACACCGCCCGUCACACCACGAGAGUUUGUAACACCCGAAGCCGGUGGAGUAACCUUUUAGGAGCUAGCCGUCGAAGGUGGGACAAAUGAUUGGGGUGAAGUCGUAACAAGGUAGCCGUAUCGGAAGGUGCGGCUGGAUCACCUCCUUUCUAAGGA